RNAcentral lists this ribosomal RNA (348 nucleotides) under uncultured eukaryote. Its description in RNAcentral is "SSU rRNA". It matches the Rfam family "Eukaryotic small subunit ribosomal RNA", at positions 1463 to 1807 of the family's 1831-position model. The record is from RNAcentral.
UGUGAUGCCCUUAGAUGUUCUGGGCCGCACGCGUGCUACACUGAUACGUACAACAAGGUAUAUGCAUUCGUGCAUCAAUGCUGCUCCGAAAUAGACACAGCUAAAUCUUCUAAAAUACGUAUCGUGCUGCGGAUAGAUCGUUGAAAUUAUGAAUCUUGAAGGCGGAAUCCCUAGUAAGCGCAAGUCAUCAACUUGCGCUGAUUACGUCCCUGCCCUUUGUACACACCGCCCGUCGCUCCUACCAAUUUCGAGUGGCUCGGUGAACCUCUUUGGACUGUCGAGCAAUCGCGAAAUUAGAGUGAACCUGGUCACUUAGAGGAAGGAGAAGUCGUAACAAGGUUUCCCGUA